UCUCUCCUCCCUCACAAAUCUCUCAUUCACUCUCCGUUCUCUCUCUCUCCUUCGAACUCACACGGACCACCCACAAACCACCCUAAAACUAUACCAACGAAGGAUCUAAGACCACCAUCGUACUCCUGAGGAUCACACGAACACGAUGGUACCAAUUUCAGCUUGUAGGAAGCUUGGUGAGGUCCUAAGGAAGCUCGGAGUGCUUCGUUGGACAAAUUUGGACGUCGGGAAAGCUUAGUUCAAGUUUGGCCGGAGCUUUCGAGACUUUUUCCGGCGAAUCCAGGCCGAGUUAGGGGUCAAGGCAGAAAUUCCGGCAAAACACCCACCUCCGGCGAAACCAGUCCGGCGACGCGAGGAAGAAGAU
This is a long non-coding RNA of Pyrus x bretschneideri (Chinese white pear), 364 nucleotides long. RefSeq lists it as uncharacterized. The transcript has 3 exons. The record is from RefSeq and is a predicted model, not a curated record. Lineage: Eukaryota; Viridiplantae; Streptophyta; Magnoliopsida; Rosales; Rosaceae.